RNAcentral lists this ribosomal RNA (383 nucleotides) under uncultured bacterium. Its description in RNAcentral is "bacterial SSU rRNA". It matches the Rfam family "Bacterial small subunit ribosomal RNA", at positions 524 to 906 of the family's 1533-position model. The record is from RNAcentral.
UACGAAGGGGGCGAGCGUUGUUCGGAUUUACUGGGCGUAAAGGGCGCGUAGGCGGUACAGGAAGUCGAGUGUGAAAGCCCCGGGCUCAACCUGGGAAUGGCGCUCGAGACUCUUGUGCUUGAGUUCGGGAGAGGAGCGUGGAAUUCCCAGUGUAGAGGUGAAAUUCGUAGAUAUUGGGAAGAACACCGGUGGCGAAGGCGGCGCUCUGGACCGAGACUGACGCUGAGGCGCGAAAGCGUGGGGAGCAAACAGGAUUAGAUACCCUGGUAGUCCACGCGGUAAACGAUGUGUGCUAGACGUUGGGGAGCCUAGCUCUUCGGUGUCGCCGCAAACGCUUUAAGCACACCGCCUGGGGAGUACGGCCGCAAGGUUAAAACUCAAAG